This 1124-nucleotide ribosomal RNA is filed under the name Vibrio cholerae. RNAcentral's name for it is "partial 23S ribosomal RNA". It matches the Rfam family "Bacterial large subunit ribosomal RNA", at positions 1123 to 2234 of the family's 2925-position model. Lineage: Bacteria; Pseudomonadati; Pseudomonadota; Gammaproteobacteria; Vibrionales; Vibrionaceae. The record is from RNAcentral.
UUAAAGAAAGCGUAAUAGCUCACUAGUCGAGUCGGCCUGCGCGGAAGAUGUAACGGGGCUAAGCAAUACACCGAAGCUGCGGCAAUGUCUUUUAGACAUUGGGUAGGGGAGCGUUCUGUAAGCCGUUGAAGGUGAAUCGUAAGGUUUGCUGGAGGUAUCAGAAGUGCGAAUGCUGACAUGAGUAACGACAAAGGGGGUGAAAAACCUCCUCGCCGGAAGACCAAGGGUUCCUGUCCAACGUUAAUCGGGGCAGGGUGAGUCGACCCCUAAGGUGAGGCCGAAAGGCGUAAUCGAUGGGAAACGGGUUAAUAUUCCCGUACUUCUGACUAUUGCGAUGGGGGGACGGAGAAGGCUAGGUGGGCCAGGCGACGGUUGUCCUGGUUCAAGUGCGUAGGCUUGAGAGUUAGGUAAAUCCGGCUCUCUCUAAGGCUGAGACACGACGUCGAGCUACUACGGUAGUGAAGUCAUUGAUGCCAUGCUUCCAGGAAAAGCCUCUAAGCUUCAGAUAGUCAGGAAUCGUACCCCAAACCGACACAGGUGGUCGGGUAGAGAAUACCAAGGCGCUUGAGAGAACUCGGGUGAAGGAACUAGGCAAAAUGGUACCGUAACUUCGGGAGAAGGUACGCUCUUGAUGGUGAAGUCCCUCGCGGAUGGAGCUGACGAGAGUCGCAGAUACCAGGUGGCUGCAACUGUUUAUUAAAAACACAGCACUGUGCAAAAUCGCAAGAUGACGUAUACGGUGUGACGCCUGCCCGGUGCCGGAAGGUUAAUUGAUGGGGUUAGCGCAAGCGAAGCUCUUGAUCGAAGCCCCGGUAAACGGCGGCCGUAACUAUAACGGUCCUAAGGUAGCGAAAUUCCUUGUCGGGUAAGUUCCGACCUGCACGAAUGGCGUAAUGAUGGCCACGCUGUCUCCACCCGAGACUCAGUGAAAUUGAAAUCGCUGUGAAGAUGCAGUGUACCCGCGGCUAGACGGAAAGACCCCGUGAACCUUUACUACAGCUUGGCACUGAACAUUGAACCUACAUGUGUAGGAUAGGUGGGAGGCUAUGAAGACGUGACGCCAGUUGCGUUGGAGCCGUCCUUGAAAUACCACCCUUGUAUGUUUGAUGUUCUAACUUAGACCC